This is a small nuclear RNA of Meleagris gallopavo (turkey), 94 nucleotides long. NCBI's taxonomy places the organism in Eukaryota, Metazoa, Chordata, Aves, Galliformes, Phasianidae. The record is from Ensembl.
ACAUGUCAUGAAGCAUUCCAUGUUGGAGUGAUACAGAGAAGAUUAGCAUGGCCCCUGUGCUUGGAUGACAAGCAAAUUCAUGAAGCUAUUUUUU